This 472-nucleotide unclassified non-coding RNA is filed under the name uncultured Glomus. Its description in RNAcentral is "SSU rRNA". It matches the Rfam family "Eukaryotic small subunit ribosomal RNA", at positions 569 to 1042 of the family's 1831-position model. Lineage: Eukaryota; Fungi; Glomeromycota; Glomeromycetes; Glomerales; Glomeraceae. The record is from RNAcentral.
AGCAGCCGCGGUAAUUCCAGCUCCAAUAGCGUAUAUUAAAGUUGUUGCAGUUAAAAAGCUCGUAGUUGAAUUUCGGGGUUAGUAGGUUGGUCAUGCCUCUGGUAUGUACUGGUCUCACUGAUUCCUCCUUCCUGAUGAACCUUAAUGCCAUUAGUUUGGUGUUUUGGGGAAUUUGGACUGUUACUUUGAAAAAAUUAGAGUGUUUAAAGCAGGCAUUUUUGCUUGAAUACAUUAGCAUGGAAUAAUAAAAUAGGACGGCAUGGUUCUAUUUUGUUGGUUUCUAGGACCACCGUAAUGAUUAAUAGGGAUAGUUGGGGGCAUUAGUAUUCAAUUGUCAGAGGUGAAAUUCUUGGAUUUAUUGAAGACUAACUACUGCGAAAGCAUUUGCCAAGGAUGUUUUCAUUAAUCAAGAACGAAAGUUAGGGGAUCGAAGACGAUCAGAUACCGUCGUAGUCUUAACCAUAAACUAUGC